GACGAACGCUGGCGGCGUGCUUAACACAUGCAAGUCGAACGGAAAGGCCCUGCUUUUGUGGGGUGCUCGAGUGGCGAACGGGUGAGUAACACGUGAGUAACCUGCCCUUGACUUUGGGAUAACUUCAGGAAACUGGGGCUAAUAUCGGAUAGGAGCUCCUGCUGCAUGGUGGGGGUUGGAAAGUUUCGGCGGUUGGGGAUGGACUCGCGGCUUAUCAGCUUGUUGGUGGGGUAGUGGCUUACCAAGGCUUUGACGGGUAGCCGGCCUGGGAGGGUGACCGGCCACAUUGGGACUGAGAUACGGCCCAGACUCCUACGGGAGGCAGCAGUGGGGAAUAUUGCACAAUGGGCGGAAGCCUGAUGCAGCAACGCCGCGUGCGGGAUGACGGCCUUCGGGUUGUAAACCGCUUUCGCCUGUGACGAAGCGUGAGUGACGGUAAUGGGUAAAGAAGCACCGGCUAACUACGUG
This 468-nucleotide ribosomal RNA is filed under the name uncultured bacterium. Its description in RNAcentral is "partial 16S ribosomal RNA". It matches the Rfam family "Bacterial small subunit ribosomal RNA", at positions 28 to 507 of the family's 1533-position model. The record is from RNAcentral.